Molecule: long non-coding RNA, 403 nt
Filed under: Drosophila guanche
Lineage: Eukaryota; Metazoa; Arthropoda; Insecta; Diptera; Drosophilidae
Source: RNAcentral
CAUCUCUGGGCCCAACAGCAGGCCUUGCUAGACACCUCGUGUCCCUUCGGCUUCGCUGGGUUUUUACAUUGAAAUUGAAGCUGCAAAUUCACUCUCGCAUUGUGGAAGCCCACUAGUACUUGUCUUGGCCAUGUCCCAAACAGAGAGAGAGAGAGAGAGGGAGUGAGAUAGAGGGAGGGAGCAGGAGUGCAGGAGGUGGAGACAAAGGCAUUUCGACCGUGGUCCACAUGUUGGCUUGCAGCUGGGAUAGAUGGAUAGAGGGCUGCCCCUGCAUCCUGCCCCGUGUCCCGUGCACCCUGCCACGUACCGCAUGGCUAUGUGCAAGGUGACGUUUGCUUUGGUCCUGGCAGCUGCGGUUCUUUUGGUCCUACGGCUUCUGGUCCUAUGGCGCAUUUGUUAGCAG